RNAcentral lists this ribosomal RNA (301 nucleotides) under uncultured bacterium. Its description in RNAcentral is "partial 16S ribosomal RNA". It matches the Rfam family "Bacterial small subunit ribosomal RNA", at positions 509 to 807 of the family's 1533-position model. The record is from RNAcentral.
CAGUCGCCGCGGUAAAACGUAGGUGGCAAGCGUCGUCCGGAAUUAUUGGGCGUAAAGGGCUCGCAGGCGGUUUCUUAAGUCUGAUGUGAAAGCCCCCGGCUCAACCGGGGAGGGUCAUUGGAAACUGGGAAACUUGAGUGCAGAAGAGGAGAGUGGAAUUCCACGUGUAGCGGUGAAAUGCGUAGAGAUGUGGAGGAACACCAGUGGCGAAGGCGACUCUCUGGUCUGUAACUGACGCUGAGGAGCGAAAGCGUGGGGAGCGAACAGGAUUAGAUACCCGGGUAGUCCCUGUCUCUUAUAC